Molecule: ribosomal RNA, 379 nt
Filed under: uncultured eukaryote
Lineage: Eukaryota
Description: partial 18S ribosomal RNA
Rfam family: Eukaryotic small subunit ribosomal RNA
Source: RNAcentral
CAAUAGCGUAUAUUAAAGUUGUUGCAGUUAGAACGCUCGUAGUCGGAUUUCGGGGCGGGUCGACCGGUCUGCCGAUGGGUACGCACUGGCCGACGCGUCCUUCCUUCCGGAGACCGUCUCACUCUUAACUGAGCGGAGGCGGGAGACGGAACGUUUACUUUGAAAAAAUCAGAGUGUUUCAAGCAGGCAGCUCGCUCUUGCAUGGAUUAGCAUGGGAUAAUGAAAUAGGACUUUGGUGCUAUUUUGUUGGUUUCGAACACCGAAGUAAUGAUGAGAAGGGACAGUCAGGGGCACUCGUAUUCCGCCGAGAGAGGUGAAAUUCUCAGACCAGCGGAAGACGAACCACUGCGAAAGCAUUUGCCAGGGAUGUUUNCACUGA